This 207-nucleotide ribosomal RNA is filed under the name uncultured bacterium. RNAcentral describes it as "partial 16S ribosomal RNA". It matches the Rfam family "Bacterial small subunit ribosomal RNA", at positions 568 to 774 of the family's 1533-position model. The record is from RNAcentral.
CGCGUAGGCGGAUAUAUAAGUCAGAUGUGAAAUUUCGGUGCUCAACAUCGAAGCUGCAUUUGAAACUGUAAAUCUAGAGGAUGGAAGGAGAAAACGGAAUUCCACGUGUAGCGGUGAAAUGCGUAGAUAUGUGGAAGAACACCUGUGGCGAAAGCGGUUUUCUAUUUUAUUCCUGACGCUGAGGCGCGAGAGCAAGGGGAGCAAACA